Molecule: ribosomal RNA, 443 nt
Filed under: uncultured bacterium
Lineage: Bacteria
Description: partial 16S ribosomal RNA
Rfam family: Bacterial small subunit ribosomal RNA
Source: RNAcentral
CCUACGGGUGGCAGCAGUGGGGAAUAUUGGGCAAUGGGCGCAAGCCUGACCCAGCAACGCCGCGUGAAGGUAGAAGGCCCUCGGGUUGUAAACUUCUUUUAUUCGGGACGAAACAAAUGACGGUACCGAAUGAAUAAGCUACGGCUAACUACGUGCCAGCAGCCGCGGUAAUACGUAGGUGGCAAGCUUUAUCCGGAUUUACGGGUUGCAAGGGGGGUGGAGGCGGGAGGGCAAGUCGGACGUGAAAUUCCAGGGCUAAACCCUGGAACUGCGUUUGAAACUGUUCUUCUUGAGUGAUGGGGAGGCAGGCGGAAUUCGGGGUGUAGCGGUGAAAUGCGUAGAUAGACGGAGGAACACCAGUGGCGAAGGCGGCCUACGGGACAUUAACUGACGCUGAGGCGCGAAAGCGUGGGGAGCAAACAGGAUUAGAUACCCGAGUAGUC